This 465-nucleotide ribosomal RNA is filed under the name uncultured bacterium. RNAcentral describes it as "partial 16S ribosomal RNA". It matches the Rfam family "Bacterial small subunit ribosomal RNA", at positions 338 to 795 of the family's 1533-position model. The record is from RNAcentral.
CCUACGGGAGGCAGCAGUAGGGAAUCUUCGGCAAUGGACGAAAGUCUGACCGAGCAACGCCGCGUGAGUGAAGAAGGUUUUCGGAUCGUAAAACUCUGUUGGUAGAGAAGAACGUUGGUGAGAGUGGAAAGCUCAUCAAGUGACGGUAACUACCCAGAAAGGGACGCCUAACUACGUGCCAGCAGCCGCGGUAAUACGUAGGUCCCGAGCGUUGUCCGGAUUUAUUGGGUUUAAAGGGUGCGUAGGCGGACUGGAAAGUAAGCGGUAAAAUCGAAGGGCUAAACUGCGUUCCGCCGUUGAAACUGUCGGUCUGGAGUGCGCGAGAGGUAUGCGGAAUGCGUGGUGUAGCGGUGAAAUGCAUAGAUAUCACGCAGAACUCCGAUGGCGAAGGCGGCAUACCGGCGCCCGACUGACGCUGAGGCACGAAAGCGAGGGUAUCGAACGGGAUUAGAUACCCCUGUAGUC